AUUGAACGCUGGCGGCAUGCUUUACACAUGCAAGUCGAACGGCAGCGCGGGCUUCGGCCUGGCGGCGAGUGGCGAACGGGUGAGUAAUACAUCGGAACGUGCCCAGUAGUGGGGGAUAGCUCGGCGAAAGCCGGAUUAAUACCGCAUACGACCUGAGGGUGAAAGCGGGGGAUCUUCGGACCUCGCGCUAUUGGAGCGGCCGAUGGCAGAUUAGCUAGUUGGUGGGGUAAAGGCCUACCAAGGCGACGAUCUGUAGCUGGUCUGAGAGGACGACCAGCCACACUGGGACUGAGACACGGCCCAGACUCCUACGGGAGGCAGCAGUGGGGAAUUUUGGACAAAGCGCGAAAGCCUGAUCCAGCAAUGCCGCGUGUGUGAUGAAGGCCUUCGGGUUGUAAAGCACUUUUGGCGGGAACGAAAAGGACUGUGCCAAUACCACGGUUCGAUGACGGUACCCGCAGAAUAAGCACCGGCUAACUACGUG
This 484-nucleotide ribosomal RNA is filed under the name uncultured bacterium. RNAcentral describes it as "partial 16S ribosomal RNA". It matches the Rfam family "Bacterial small subunit ribosomal RNA", at positions 29 to 507 of the family's 1533-position model. The record is from RNAcentral.